Molecule: ribosomal RNA, 497 nt
Filed under: uncultured bacterium
Lineage: Bacteria
Description: partial 16S ribosomal RNA
Rfam family: Bacterial small subunit ribosomal RNA
Source: RNAcentral
GAUGAACGCUGGCGGCGUGCCUAAUACAUGCAAGUCGAGCGAACGGACGAGAAGCUUGCUUCUCUGAUGUUAGCGGCGGACGGGUGAGUAACACGUGGAUAACCUACCUAUAAGACUGGGAUAACUUCGGGAAACCGGAGCUAAUACCGGAUAAUAUCUUGAACCGCAUGGUUCAAAAGUGAAAGACGGUCUUGCUGUCACUUAUAGAUGGAUCCGCGCUGCAUUAGCUAGUUGGUAAGGUAACGGCUUACCAAGGCAACGAUGCAUAGCCGACCUGAGAGGGUGAUCGGCCACACUGGAACUGAGACACGGUCCAGACUCCUACGGGAGGCAGCAGUAGGGAAUCUUCCGCAAAGGGCGAAAGCCUGACGGAGCAACGCCGCGUGAGUGAUGAAGGUCUUCGGAUCGUAAAACUCUGUUAUUAGGGAAGAACAUAUGUGUAAGUAACUGUGCACAUCUUGACGGUACCGAAUCAGAAAGCCACGGCUAACUACGUG